GACGAACGCUGGCGGCGUGCCUAAUACAUGCAAGUAGAACGCUGAAGAGAGGAGCUUGCUCUUCUUGGAUGAGUUGCGAACGGUUGAGUAACGCGUAGGUAACCUGCCUUGUAGCGGGGGAUAACUAUUGGAAACGAUAGCUAAUACCGCAUAACAAUAGGUGACACAUGUCAUUUAUUUGAAAGGGGCAAUUGCUCCACUACAAUAUGGACCUGCGUUGUAUUAGCUAGUAGGUGAGGUAACGGCUCACCUAGGCGACGAUACAUAGCCGACCUGAGAGGGUGAUCGGCCACACUGGGACUGAGACACGGCCCAGACUCCUACGGGAGGCAGCAGUAGGGAAUCUUCGGCAAUGGGGGCAAACCUGACCGAGCAACGCCGCGUGAGUGAAGAAGGUUUUCGGAUCGUAAAGCUCUGUUGUAAGUCAAGAACGAGUGUGAGAGUGGAAAGUUCACACUGUGACGGUAGCUUACCAGAAAGGGACGGCUAACUACGUG
Molecule: ribosomal RNA, 497 nt
Filed under: uncultured bacterium
Lineage: Bacteria
Description: partial 16S ribosomal RNA
Rfam family: Bacterial small subunit ribosomal RNA
Source: RNAcentral